This 72-nucleotide transfer RNA is filed under the name Blastococcus fimeti. Its description in RNAcentral is "Blastococcus sp. DSM 44205 tRNA_Arg_TCT". It matches the Rfam family "tRNA". From Rfam's summary of the family: Transfer RNA (tRNA) molecules are approximately 80 nucleotides in length. Lineage: Bacteria; Bacillati; Actinomycetota; Actinomycetes; Geodermatophilales; Geodermatophilaceae. The record is from RNAcentral.
GGGGUUAUAGUGCAAUUGGUAGUACAAAAGUCUUCUACAUUUUUGGUCAUGGUUCGAGUCCAUGUUGCUCCA